This 3231-nucleotide long non-coding RNA is filed under the name Homo sapiens (human). RNAcentral describes it as "OIP5 antisense RNA 1". Lineage: Eukaryota; Metazoa; Chordata; Mammalia; Primates; Hominidae. The record is from RNAcentral.
GCCACCUUGAGAAGCUGCGAAGAUGGCGGAGUAAGGCGUGCCGCUGCAAACUGGCCUCUGGGCCGGGGGCGAGCAGCCCCCGGGAGGCCGAGUGCAUCUGUUGGACCGUGCGAGGAGAAGAAAAAAAAUAUCGGCCAGAGGAGAGGAACUAACCGAACAUUCUUCCUCCCUACCUUAUAGAGGGGAGUGGUCAUCUACACUAAAGCAAAGUGUUAGGCGCGUCCGUGCGAAGAGACCACCAAACAGGCUUUGUGUUCCUUAUCACAGGAAGAAAAUUUUCCUUGACCUUUAGGUGCUUUUAUAUUCAUCUCAAAAACAAAAUUCUGAACUCAGGACUUGGCAAACCACCGCUGAAACUUCACUUCUACACAGAGGCUUUCUUUCCCAGAAACCCAGACCAGAUGGAGUUUCACUCUGUCGCCCAGGCUGGAGUGCAGUGGCACGAUCUCGGCUGACUGCAGCCUCUACCUGCUGGGUUCAAGCAAUUCUUCUGCCUCAGGUUCCUGAGUAGCUGGGAUUACAGAAGUGACCUCUCAAGGCAGCCAGGGCAGCAUGGGUAGAAUACAGAUGGAAACCAACGGGAAUCCCACAAGAACCACAGAAUAAAAGGUUGUAAGUACUAGGGGUGGGGAAAAACACAAUAUGGGUAAGAAUAAAAAAUCAUAUAAGAAAUAAAAAAUAACUAGUCUCUGAAGCAUUCCUAACACCUAAGUCAGGGUGAAAAUUACAUUGUAAUAGGAAUGAGACGGAAAGAAUGUCACAUUCAAGAAAGGGUAACUCAGAUUGUAAUUUAAUUACAUGCUGGAUUGCGGAUACCCUCGUAUAUUCUGGUCAAAGCAAUCAUGGAUGUAUAAUUGUCGCUUCAGAAGAGAAAGGUAAUUUACCCCUAAUAAACACAAAAAGAGCUAACUAAUCUGAUUAACAUUUAAACAUUUAAAACUACAAAUCAUGUAAAAUGGCUAUCAUUAUAUAAAUUCACAGUUGUUGAAAAAUAAUCAAGUUGACUGGGGCCUUACUAAACAAAUUGUUCAUAGAACUAAAAUCAAGGUUUGUCUUUUGCUUAUAUUAAAAAAGAAAGUUAAUGAAAAAAAUGCGCCCUCUCCCUCUCCCUCCUCUCCCCACGGUCUCCCUCUCCCUCUCUUUCCACGGUCUCCCUCUGAUGCCAAGCCAAAGCUGGACUGUACUGCUGCCAUCUCGGCUCACUGCAACCUCCCUGCCUGAUUCUCCUGCCUCAGCCUGCCGAGUGCCUGCGAUUGCAGGCACGCGCCGCCACACUUGACAGGUUUUCAUAUUUUUUUGGUGGAGACGGGGUUUCGCUGUGUUGGCUGGGCUGGUCUCCAGCUCCUAACCGCGAGUGAUCCACCAGCCUCGGCCUCCCAGGGUGCCGGGAUUGCAGACGGAGUCUCGUCUCGUUCACUCAGUGCUCAAUGGUGCCCAGGCUGGAGUGCAGUGGCAUGAUCUUGGCUCGCUACAACCUCCACCUCCCAGCCGCCUGCCUUGGCCUCCCAAAGUGCCGAGAUUACAGCCUCUGCCCAGCCGCCACCCCGUCUGGGAAGUGAGGAGCGUCUCUGCCUGGCCACCCAUCGUCUGGGAUGUGAGGAGCCCCUCUGCCUGGCUGCCCAGUCUGGAAAGUGAGGAGCGUCUCUGCCCGCCCGCCAUCCCAUCUAGGAAGUGAGGAGCGCCUCUUCCCGGCCGCCAUCCCAUCUAGGAAGUGAGGAGCGUCUCUGCCCGGCCUCCCAUGGUCUGAGAUGUGGGGAACGCCUCUGCCCUGCCGCCCCGUCUGGGAUGUGAGGAGCGCCUCUGCCCGGCCGCGACCCUGCCUGGGAGGUGAGGAGCGUCUCUGCCCGGCUGCCCCAUCUUGAGAAGUGAGGAGACCCUCCGCCCGGCAGCCUCCCUGUCUGAGAAGUGAGGAGCCCCUCCGCCCGGCAGCCACCCCAUCUGGGAAGUGAGGAGCGUCUCCGCCCGGCAGCCACCCUGUCGGGGAGGGAGGUGGGGGGUCAGCCCCCCGCCCAGCCAGCCGCCCCGUCCAGGAGGGAGGUGGGGGGGUCAGCCCCCCGCCCGGCCAGCCGCCCCGUCCGGGAGGGAGGUGGGGUGGUCCAGCCCCCCGCCCGGCCAGCCGUCCCGUCCUGGAGGGAGGUGGGGGGGUCAGCCCCCCGCCCGGCCAGCCGCCCCGUCCGCGAGGUGAUGGGCGCCUCUGCCCGGCCGCCCCUACUGGGAAGUGAGGAGCCCCUCUGCCCGGCCACCACCCUGUCUGGGAGGUGUACCCAACAGCUCAUUGAGAAUGGGCCAUGAUGACAAUGGCAGUUUUGUGGAAUAGAAAAGGGGGAAAGGUGGGGAAAAGAUUGAGAAAUCGGAUGGCUGCUGUGUCUGUGUAGAAAGAAGUAGACAUGGGAGACUUUUCAUUUUGUUCUGUACUAAGAAAAAUUCUUCUGCCUUGGGAUCCUGUUGAUCUAUGACCUUACCCCCAAUCCUGUGCUCUCUGAAACAUGUGCUGUGUCCACUCAGGGUUAAAUGGAUUAAGGGCGGUGCAAGAUGUGCUUUGUUAAACAGAUGCUUGAAGGCAGCAUGCUCCUUAAGAGUCAUCACCACUCCCUAAUCUCAAGUACCCAGGGACACAAACACUGCGGAAGGCCGCAGGGUCCUCUGCCUAGGAAAACCAGAGACCUUUGUUCACUUGUUUAUCUGCUGACCUUCCCUCCACUAUUGUCCUAUGACCCUGCCAAAUCCCCCUCUGCGAGAAACACCCAAGAAUGAUCAAUAAAAAAAUAAAUAAAUAAAUAAAUAAAUAAAAAAGAAAAAAAUGCGCAGACUAAAAGAGAAAGAAAAGGGAAUCCUAUUACCCUAGCAAGCCAUCUAUUUUGUUUUCCUUAUCCUCUGAAAAGAUUACUGAUGAAGAGUCAGAUGUUGAUUUUAGCUCUCAUUACAAUUCUUGAGCAAGUCAUCAUAUUUGCUGGUAUAUAAGACAUAUUUAAAUAUUAGAAAGAAACAUUUUGGUCAGGCACAGUGGUUCACACCUACUGUAAUCCCAGCACUAUGAGAGGCCAAAGUGGGCAGAUAGCUUGAGCCCAGGAAUUCGAGAGCAGCCUAGGCAACAUGGUAAUACCCCGUCUUAAAAAAUAAAUAAAUGUUUUACAAGAAAAGCACUUUAAGAAAAUAUUUCAUCAUGCAUGUGCUAAAAGCAAUUUUAAAGUGGUUUGGUAAAGGAAAAAUAAAUUGUAUUAAUAUAUAGUA